Molecule: ribosomal RNA, 800 nt
Filed under: Brevibacterium sp. SX2S10S2
Lineage: Bacteria; Bacillati; Actinomycetota; Actinomycetes; Micrococcales; Brevibacteriaceae
Description: bacterial SSU rRNA
Rfam family: Bacterial small subunit ribosomal RNA
Source: RNAcentral
UGCAGUCGAACGCUGAAGCCCCAGCUUGCUGGGGUGGAUGAGUGGCGAACGGGUGAGUAACACGUGAGUAACCUGCCCCUGACUUCGGGAUAAGCCCGGGAAACUGGGUCUAAUACCGGAUACGACCGGCCCUCGCAUGUGGGUUGGUGGAAAGUUUUUUCGGUUGGGGAUGGGCUCGCGGCCUAUCAGUUUGUUGGUGAGGUAAUGGCUCACCAAGACGACGACGGGUAGCCGGCCUGAGAGGGCGACCGGCCACACUGGGACUGAGACACGGCCCAGACUCCUACGGGAGGCAGCAGUGGGGAAUAUUGCACAAUGGGGGAAACCCUGAUGCAGCGACGCAGCGUGCGGGAUGACGGCCUUCGGGUUGUAAACCGCUUUCAGCAGGGAAGAAGCGAAAGUGACGGUACCUGCAGAAGAAGUACCGGCUAACUACGUGCCAGCAGCCGCGGUAAUACGUAGGGUACGAGCGUUGUCCGGAAUUAUUGGGCGUAAAGAGCUCGUAGGUGGUUGGUCACGUCUGCUGUGGAAACGCAACGCUUAACGUUGCGCGUGCAGUGGGUACGGGCUGACUAGAGUGCAGUAGGGGAGUCUGGAAUUCCUGGUGUAGCGGUGAAAUGCGCAGAUAUCAGGAGGAACACCGGUGGCGAAGGCGGGACUCUGGGCUGUAACUGACACUGAGGAGCGAAAGCAUGGGGAGCGAACAGGAUUAGAUACCCUGGUAGUCCAUGCCGUAAACGUUGGGCACUAGGUGUGGGGGACAUUCCACGUUCUCCGCGCCGUAGCUAACGCAUUAAGUG